Molecule: ribosomal RNA, 572 nt
Filed under: uncultured bacterium
Lineage: Bacteria
Description: partial 16S ribosomal RNA
Rfam family: Bacterial small subunit ribosomal RNA
Source: RNAcentral
UGGGGAAUUUUGGACAAUGGGCGAAAGCCUGAUCCAGCAAUGCCGCGUGUGUGAAGAAGGCCUUCGGGUUGUAAAGCACUUUUGUCCGGAAAGAAAUCCUUGGCUCUAAUACAGUCGGGGGAUGACGGUACCGGAAGAAUAAGCACCGGCUAACUACGUGCCAGCAGCCGCGGUAAUACGUAGGGUGCAAGCGUUAAUCGGAAUUACUGGGCGUAAAGCGUGCGCAGGCGGUUUGCUAAGACCGAUGUGAAAUCCCCGGGCUCAACCUGGGAACUGCAUUGGUGACUGGCAGGCUAGAGUAUGGCAGAGGGGGGUAGAAUUCCACAUGUAGCAGUGAAAUGCGUAGAGAUGUGGAGGAAUACCGAUGGCGAAGGCAGCCCCCUGGGCCAAUACUGACGCUCAUGCACGAAAGCGUGGGGAGCAAACAGGAUUAGAUACCCUGGUAGUCCACGCCCUAAAACGAUGUCAACUAGUUGUUGGGGAUUCAUUUCCUUAGUAACGUAGCUAACGCGUGAAGUUGACCGCCUGGGGAGUACGGUCGCAAGAUUAAAACUCAAAGGAAUUGACGGGGU